UAAUAGCCUCUGAUCACGCGACAAAAUCAAAUUAAACAUAAAUAUUGUGAAUUUUAAAAUUUCUUACAUAAGAUUACAAUGAAGGGAAGAUAUGUAUAUAUAUAUCAUUCUUACGUUUAGCUAUUAUAUUUUCAGCUGAUAAAAACAUGCUCAGCUUCUCAAUUGUAGAUUCGCUAAUCAGAUUAGGAUAUCUACAAAAAAAGCCAGUAAUAACAAUGAGAAAUUACAAUGCUAACGAAGAGAAAUAAAAUAAUUUCAAGCAUAAACCUUGAUUUUAAUAAUUCCACUAAUAAAAAAUUUCCACGAUUAGUUUUGAUGUCAUAAGGACUAGAGAAGAUACAACAUAUGAUGAAGAUACAACAUAUUCAAUGUAAAUUCAAACUUCAAUAUAUACUCAUACGUACACAGUGGAGAUAAUUUCAUCUCUUGUUCGACGAUACAGGAGGAUUGGUCCCGAAUAUCUACAAAUGAUUUGAUGAUAAGGUAAACCACUGCUGCCAGCAAAACCAGGAUGAUUCCAACCAAGAACAGAAUAUCCAUCUCUAAAACGAUGUGCAAAUUGCACAUUGCACACCGUUAAUUGGCACACUGGUUAUGGCAACAAAGAAUGUACGGCUGUUGCUUAUGGCAACAACAUGACCUUAUGACAGGCAAAGAUUAUUGAAACAUAGGAAAAAAAGUGAAGAAUUUAAACACCUGGCUAUUUUCAGAGAGUAUCCUCUGUUUCAUUCCAGUAAAAGUCUACGGGCCAAGAAGAAAAUUCAAAGUCAUAGAGAGCCAGUUGUUGCUACAGAAUGAACAUUUUAAUACAUAUUUAAAAUCAAAACACAAAGGAAUGUGAAUAAUAAACUCCUUACUCGAGCAGUA
Long non-coding RNA from Xenia sp. Carnegie-2017, 867 nucleotides. RefSeq lists it as uncharacterized. The transcript has 5 exons. NCBI's taxonomy places the organism in Eukaryota, Metazoa, Cnidaria, Anthozoa, Malacalcyonacea, Xeniidae. The record is from RefSeq and is a predicted model, not a curated record.